AGUGAACGCUGGCGGUAGGCCUAACACAUGCAAGUCGAACGGCAGCACAGUAAGAGCUUGCUCUUACGGGUGGCGAGUGGCGGACGGGUGAGGAAUACAUCGGAAUCUACUUUUUCGUGGGGGAUAACGUAGGGAAACUUACGUUAAUACCGCAUACGACCUACGGGUGAAAGCAGGGGAUCUUCGGACCUUGCGCGAUUGAAUGAGCCGAUGUCGGAUUAGCUAGUUGGCGGGGUAAAGGCCCACCAAGGCGACGAUCCGUAGCUGGUCUGAGAGGAUGAUCAGCAACACUGGAACUGAGACACGGUCCCGCCUCCUACGGGAGGCAGCAGUGGGGAAUAUUGGACAAUGGGCGCAAGCCUGAACCAGCCAUACCGCGUGGGUGAAGAAGGCCUUCGGGUUGUAAAGCCCUUUUGUUGGGAAAGAAAAGCAGCAGGUUAAUACCCCGCUGUUCUGACGGUACCCAAAGAAUAAGCACCGGCUAACUUCGU
This 491-nucleotide ribosomal RNA is filed under the name uncultured bacterium. RNAcentral describes it as "partial 16S ribosomal RNA". It matches the Rfam family "Bacterial small subunit ribosomal RNA", at positions 29 to 506 of the family's 1533-position model. The record is from RNAcentral.